Molecule: ribosomal RNA, 159 nt
Filed under: Sporocadaceae sp.
Lineage: Eukaryota; Fungi; Ascomycota; Sordariomycetes; Amphisphaeriales; Sporocadaceae
Description: partial large subunit ribosomal RNA
Rfam family: Eukaryotic large subunit ribosomal RNA
Source: RNAcentral
CGGCAACAGCUCAAAUUUGAAAUCUGGCUCUCGGGCCCGAGUUGUAAUUUGUAGAGGAUACUUUUGAUGCGGUGCCUUCCGAGUUCCCUGGAACGGGACGCCAUAGAGGGUGAGAGCCCCGUACAGUUGGACACUAAGCCCAUGUGAAGCUCCUUCGAC